This 210-nucleotide unclassified non-coding RNA is filed under the name soil metagenome. Its description in RNAcentral is "partial contains small subunit ribosomal RNA, internal transcribed spacer 1, and 5.8S ribosomal RNA". The record is from RNAcentral.
UCUCCGUUGGUGAACCAGCGGAGGGAUCAUUACUGAGUAUAACACUCUAUAACCCUUUGUGAACCUACCUAUUUGUUGCUUCGGCGGCUCGGCCCCUCGCCGGGUUGGCCGCCGGAGGUACCUAAACUGAUUGCCUUUUGGCGUGGAUUAUCUUCUGAGUCUUCAUUUACGAAUGAAUUAAAACUUUCAACAACGGAUCUCUUGGUUCUG